This 263-nucleotide ribosomal RNA is filed under the name uncultured archaeon. Its description in RNAcentral is "partial 16S ribosomal RNA". It matches the Rfam family "Archaeal small subunit ribosomal RNA", at positions 748 to 1009 of the family's 1478-position model. The record is from RNAcentral.
CAGCCGUAAACUAUGCGCGUUAGGUGUAUCGGUGACCACGAGUUACCGAGGUGCCGAAGGGAAACCGUGAAACGUGCCGCCUGGGAAGUACGGUCGCAAGGCUGAAACUUAAAGGAAUUGGCGGGGGAGCACCACAACAGGUGGAGCCUGCGGGUUUAAUUUGGACUCAACGCCGGGAAGCUCACCGGAUAGGACAGCAGAAUGAUUGCCGGGCUGAAGACCCUGCAUGACUAGCUGAGAGGAGGUGCAUGGCGUAGACGUCU